Molecule: ribosomal RNA, 461 nt
Filed under: uncultured bacterium
Lineage: Bacteria
Description: bacterial SSU rRNA
Rfam family: Bacterial small subunit ribosomal RNA
Source: RNAcentral
UACGGGAGGCAGCAGUGGGGAAUAUUGCACAAUGGGCGCAAGCCUGAUGCAGCCAUGCCGCGUGUAUGAAGAAGGGCCUUCGGGUUGUAAAGUACUUUCAGUACGUGAGGAAGGUGUUAAGGUUAAUAACCUUAGCAAUUGACGUUAGCGACAGAAGAAGCACCGGCUAACUCCGUGCCAGCAGCCGCGGUAAUACGGAGGGUGCGAGCGUUAAUCGGAAUUACUGGGCGUAAAGGGCACGCAGGCGGUUAAUUAAGUUGGAUGUGAAAUCCCCGGGCUUAACCUGGGAAUGGCAUUCAAGACUGGUUAGCUAGAGUCUUGUAGAGGGGGUAGAAUUCCAUGUGUAGCGGUGAAAUGCGUAGAGAUGUGGAGGAAUACCGGUGGCGAAAGGCGGCCCCUGGGACAAAGGACUGACGCUCGAUGUGCGAAAAGCGUGGGGAGCGAAACAGGGAUUAGAUACC